RNAcentral lists this ribosomal RNA (427 nucleotides) under uncultured bacterium. Its description in RNAcentral is "partial 16S ribosomal RNA". It matches the Rfam family "Bacterial small subunit ribosomal RNA", at positions 354 to 796 of the family's 1533-position model. The record is from RNAcentral.
GUGAGGAAUAUUGCACAAUGGGCGAAAGCCUGAUGCAGCAACGCCGCGUGAGUGAUGAAGGCCUUUGGGUCGUAAAACUCUGUCCUUGGGGAAGAAAAAAAUGACGGUACCCUUGGAGGAAGCCCCGGCUAACUACGUGCCAGCAGCCGCGGUAAUACGUAGGGGGCGAGCGUUAUCCGGAAUUAUUGGGCGUAAAGAGUGCGUAGGUGGUUUUGUAAGCGUAGGGUGAAAGGCAGUAGCUCAACUAUUGUUAGCCCUGCGAACUGUGAGACUUGAGUGCAGGAGAGGAAAGUGGAAUUCCUAGUGUAGCGGUGAAAUGCGUAGAUAUUAGGAGGAACACCAGUGGCGAAGGCGACUUUCUGGACUGUAACUGACACUGAGGCACGAAAGCGUGGGUAGCAAACAGGAUUAGAAACCCUGGUAGUCC